RNAcentral lists this ribosomal RNA (401 nucleotides) under uncultured bacterium. RNAcentral describes it as "partial 16S ribosomal RNA". It matches the Rfam family "Archaeal small subunit ribosomal RNA", at positions 473 to 873 of the family's 1478-position model. The record is from RNAcentral.
AUAACGGCUGCUCGAGUGAUGGCCACUAUUACUGGGUUUAAAGCGUCCGUAGCUUGACUGUUAGGUCUCUUGGGAAAUCUUUUGGCUUAACCAAAAGGCGUCUAAGAGAUACCGGCAUUCUUGGAACUGGGAGAGGUAAGCCGUACUUCGGGGGUAGGAGUGAAAUCUUGUAAUCCUCGAGGGACGACCUAUGGCGAAGGCAGCUUACCAGAACAGCUUCGACAGUGAGGGACGAAAGCUGGGGGAGCAAACGGGAUUAGAUACCCCGGUAGUCCCAGCCGUAAACAAUGUGCGUUAGGUGUGUCGGUUACCACGCGUAACUGAUGCGCCGAAGAGAAAUCGUGAAACGCACCACCUGGGAAGUACGGUCGCAAGGCUGAAACUUAAAGGAAUUGGCGGGG